AUGAAAUAUUAACUGUUUCAUAAAAAUUUAUAAUAGAAUUUUAUUUUUUAGUCAAAAAGCUAAAAUAUUAUUAAAAGACGAGAAGACCCUAUAAAUCUUUAUAUUUAAAUAAUAUUAAUUAUUUAGAUAAGUUAAAUUAUUAUUAUUUUAAAUAUUUUAUUGGGGUGAUAUUAAAAUUUAAUAAACUUUUAAUUUAUUAUAUACAUAAAUUAAUGAAUUAUUGAUCCAUUUAUUAUGAUUAAAAAAUUAAGUUACUUUAGGGAUAACAGCGUAAUUUUUUUAGAGAGUUCAUAUUGAUAAAAA
Molecule: ribosomal RNA, 303 nt
Filed under: Megaselia sp. 34 SH-2017
Lineage: Eukaryota; Metazoa; Arthropoda; Insecta; Diptera; Phoridae
Description: partial 16S ribosomal RNA
Source: RNAcentral